This 254-nucleotide ribosomal RNA is filed under the name uncultured bacterium. RNAcentral's name for it is "partial 16S ribosomal RNA". It matches the Rfam family "Bacterial small subunit ribosomal RNA", at positions 524 to 777 of the family's 1533-position model. The record is from RNAcentral.
UACAGAGGUCUCGAGCGUUGUUCGGAUUCAUUGGGCGUAAAGGGUGCGUAGGUGGCGCCGUAAGUCGGGUGUGAAAUUUCGGAGCUUAACUCCGAAACUGCAUUCGAUACUGCGGUGCUUGAGGACUGGAGAGGAGACUGGAAUUCAUGGUGUAGCAGUGAAAUGCGUAGAGAUCAUGAGGAAGACCAGUGGCGAAGGCGGGUCUCUGGACAGUUCCUGACACUGAGGCACGAAGGCCAGGGGAGCAAACGGGG